UAAGGAAUAUUGCUCAAUGGGAGAAAUCCUGAAGCAGCAACGCCGCGUGGAGGAUGAAGGGUCUAUGACUUGUAAACUCCUGUAAAGAAGGAAAAAAUUCCCAUUAGAUGGGAGAUGAUGGUACUUCUGGAGUAAGCCCCGGCUAACUACGUGCCGGCAGCCGCGGUAAUACGUAGGGGGCAAGCGUUGUCCGGAUUUACUGGGUGUAAAGGGUGCUCAGGCGGAUUUGUAAGUCAGAGGUGAAAUCUUACAGCUUAACUGUGAAACUGCCUCUGAUACUGCAAGCCUAGAGUAUGGAAGAGAGUGAUUGAAUAUCUGGUGUAGCAGUGAAAUGCGUAGAUAUCAGAUAGAACACCAAUGGCGAAGGCAGUCACUUGGUCCAUUACUGACGCUAAAGCACGAAAGCGUGGGUAGCAAACA
Molecule: ribosomal RNA, 420 nt
Filed under: uncultured bacterium
Lineage: Bacteria
Description: bacterial SSU rRNA
Rfam family: Bacterial small subunit ribosomal RNA
Source: RNAcentral